AUGUUGACAUUGAGUUAUUCAUCAACAAAAGAAGACACCUUGCGAGUGAAGACAUGUGUUAAAAUAGCAUUAAGAUGCGUAGAAAAAGACAGAAAUGAAAGACCCUCUAUAAAGGAUAUUGUCCAGGAACUGGAAGAACUAGAAUUGGAGAUUAAGAAAAUGUCACUACAUUCUCACAAUUCAGAAGACCUAAUUGGCCAGAGCUUUUGCUCGUCCAUAUUAAUUCAUUUGCUGUAGUACUGUUCUUUCCCUCGAUCCAUCCUAUUCGUGCCAAGGAUGAACGCUUCAACCUGCCUGCAGCUAGCUAACAUGACAGAGGGCUUCAUUGCAUUUAAUAUAAAAACCAACAAACGAAAGUAUUAUGCACAGCCAAGCAUCGGAGUUAUGCCACCAUGUUCUAAGCGCUAUAUCUCUGUGACACGUAACAUAGAGGAGGAGGCACCAAUGAAUAUGCAAUGUCAUGACAUGUUCGUGUUAAUGAGGAUCUCACAUCGGACGAGAUCACUACUGCCUUGUUUGAAGAAGGGAAGGUGGAUAUGA
Molecule: ribosomal RNA, 540 nt
Filed under: Triticum aestivum (bread wheat)
Lineage: Eukaryota; Viridiplantae; Streptophyta; Magnoliopsida; Poales; Poaceae
Description: partial small subunit ribosomal RNA
Source: RNAcentral